GGCUUCGUGGCCCAAUGGCAAGGCGUCUGACUACGAUAAAGAACACCAAACCAAUUGGGUUCUUCACAGUAAUCAGGAGAUUCUGGGUUCGACCCCCAGCGAGGUCA
This is a non-coding RNA of Xylaria nigripes, 107 nucleotides long. The record is from the annotation of a GenBank genome assembly. Lineage: Eukaryota; Fungi; Ascomycota; Sordariomycetes; Xylariales; Xylariaceae.